UCAUAUUCUUUUCUUCAACCUCUCUAACACCAUCUCUUUCCUUACUUAUUAUUUGCAAACAAACACAACAGUCUCGAAGAUUUAUUUUGCAGGUGUUCAUAAAAUCCAAGUCCAACCAUCUCAAUCUUACAGUCCAUCCAUCAGCCUUAAAAAACCCAAAUACAUUAGGGUUUUUCCUCAAGCUCGUAAAGUAACUUAGAGGGACUAGCUAGAGCUCCACGUUUUAUUAAAACCUCGCUAGAACGAUACUGUCGUACUAUCAACGAGGACAAGGAGCAGUAGCAUCACAUCAAUCUCAUUAGCUUUAUGAACUAGCUAGCUAGAAGUGCAUGGUUUGGUGGACUCUCCACUUGGGAUUUCUUAUCUUUUACCAGCUCGUUUCCUUGCUCAGUAUUUUGCCUGGACAGACACAAUGAAGACAACUGCAAGCACUUUUUGCUGUCGCCCGCACUCCCCGGCCUGGGAAAGUGAGCUUCACAUGGCCAAGGAUUUUCUGCAAUUCACUAAUGGUCGACAGUUGAUCUCCGGUGAAAAGAAAUCUCCCACCAUAUGACUGAACCUGGUACUAUCUUGGUUGCCGAGUAAAUGGCUUUGCUUUAAGUCAUUCGAUAGUCUUGCCGUUAACUGAGGACUCCCUGAACUUUUCUUGCAAAAUUUCUAUUUUAUCAUCGAGUUUAUUACUACAUCAGUUUACAAUUUUUUAUGGAGUUUAGUUGACG
RNAcentral lists this long non-coding RNA (719 nucleotides) under Populus tremula. Its description in RNAcentral is "long non-coding RNA (PTRE_LNC002304)". The record is from RNAcentral. Lineage: Eukaryota; Viridiplantae; Streptophyta; Magnoliopsida; Malpighiales; Salicaceae.